CCUACGGGCGGCUGCAGUGGGGAAUAUUGCACAAUGGGCGCAAGCCUGAUGCAGCCAUGCCGCGUGUGUGAAGAAGGCCUUCGGGUUGUAAAGCACUUUCAGCGGGGAGGAAGGCGGUGAGGUUAAUAACCUCAUCGAUUGACGUUACCCGCAGAAGAAGCACCGGCUAACUCCGUGCCAGCAGCCGCGGUAAUACGGAGGGUGCAAGCGUUAAUCGGAAUUACUGGGCGCAAAGCGCACGCAGGCGGUCUGUCAAGUCGGAUGUGAAAUCCCCGGGCUCAACCUGGGAACUGCAUUCGAAACUGGCAGGCUAGAGUCUUGUAGAGGGGGGUAGAAUGCCAGGUGUAGCGGUGAAAUGCGUAGAGAUCUGGAGGAAUACCGGUGGCGAAGGCGGCCCCCUGGACAAAGACUGACGCUCAGGUGCGAAAGCGUGGGGAGCAAACAGGAUUAGAUACCCGAGUAGUC
This 465-nucleotide ribosomal RNA is filed under the name uncultured Klebsiella sp. RNAcentral's name for it is "bacterial SSU rRNA". It matches the Rfam family "Bacterial small subunit ribosomal RNA", at positions 338 to 795 of the family's 1533-position model. The record is from RNAcentral. Lineage: Bacteria; Pseudomonadati; Pseudomonadota; Gammaproteobacteria; Enterobacterales; Enterobacteriaceae.